RNAcentral lists this ribosomal RNA (416 nucleotides) under uncultured bacterium. RNAcentral's name for it is "bacterial SSU rRNA". It matches the Rfam family "Bacterial small subunit ribosomal RNA", at positions 358 to 773 of the family's 1533-position model. The record is from RNAcentral.
GGAAUCUUGGGCAAUGGGCGAAAGCCUGACCCAGCCACGCCGCGUGGAGGAAGACACCCCUAUGGGGCGUAAACUCCUUUUAUAUGAGAAGAAAACCUUCCUCGGGAAGGAUUGACGGUAUCAUAUGAAUAAGCACCGGCUAACUCUGUGCCAGCAGCCGCGGUAAUACGGAGGGUUCAAGCGUUGUCCGGCUCCACUGGGUGUAAAGGGUGUGUAGGCGGGGCGGUAAGUCAGAGGUGAAAGCCCACAGCUCAACUGUGGAAUUGCCUUUGAUACUGCCGUUCUUGAGUCUCGGAGAGGUCGCCGGAAUUCGUGGUGUAGCGGUGAAAUGCGUGGAUAUCACGAGGAACAUCAGAGGCGUAGGCGGGCGACUGGACGAGAACUGACGCUGAGGCACGAAAGCGUGGGGAGCAAAC